UGUCUGCAGACAAUGAACAAGAGGCCGGAAUGGAUGAGCAAUUUUAAUGAACAGCUUCAGCCACCGCAGCUCCCGGGAAGAGACAAGGCACUAGUAUUCCUCCCCUUCCUCCUCGCCCUCCAUGCUGUCAGCCCCCACCUCCUCGUAAUCCUUCUCCAGGGCCGCCAUGUCCUCCCGCGCCUCCGAGAACUCCCCCUCCUCCAUGCCCUCCCCCACGUACCAGUGCACGAAGGCACGCUUGGCGUACAUCAGGUCAAACUUGUGGUCCAGGCGGGCCCAGGCCUCGGCGAUGGCCGUCGUGUUGCUCAGCAUGCACACGGCGCGCUGCACCUUGGCCAGGUCCCCGCCGGGAACCACCGUGGGCGGCUGGUAGUUGAUGCCCACCUUGAAACCCGUCGGGCACCAGUCCACAAACUGGAURSUGCGYUUGGUCUUGAUGGUGGCGAUGGCGGCGUUGACAUCUUUGGGCACCACGUCGCACUUCACCAUCUGGUUGGCCGGCUCGAAGCAGGCGUUGGUGAUCUCCGCCACCGUGAGCUGCUCGUGGUAAGCUUUCUCAGCAGAGAUGACGGGGGCGUAGGUGGCCAGRGGGAAGUGGAURCGGGGRUARGGCACCAGGUUGGUCUGGAACUCGGUCAGAUCGACAUUCAGGGCCCCGUCGAAGCGCAGGGACGCCGUGAUGGAGGACACGAUCUGGCCUAUCAACCUGUUGAGGUUGGUGUAGGUGGGGCGCUCGAUGUCCAGGUUCCGGCGGCAGAUGUCGUAGAUGGCCUCGUUGUCCACCAUGAAGGCGCAGUCGGAGUGCUCCAGGGUGGUGUGGGUGGUGAGGAUGGAGUUGUAGGGCUCCACCACGGCCGUGGACACCUGCGGUGCCGGGUAGAUGGAGAACUCCAGCUUGGACUUCUUGCCGUAGUCGACGGAGAGGCGCUCCAUGAGCAGGGAGGUGAAGCCGGAGCCGGUGCCCCCGCCGAAGCUGUGGAAGACCAGGAAGCCCUGCAGGCCUGUGCACUGGUCAGCCUGGAAGGAAAGGGGAGAAAGCAAGACGCAUUUAUUGGUUGUGCCCUGCACAUCCCAUCUCAGCCGCUAGCGACGCUGGCUGGAAGCCUGCACCAUCCUGCUCCUUGUCACGGGAGCCAUUUUCUGGAUUUAAGCUGCUAUUUACUCAUCGAAGAAAGCCAGUAUUUACCCCAGCGCGCCAGGCUGCUGGGGCAGCUCGGAUCAGGACCACACGCACACGCACAGCCAGCCCCUGCGGCAGCCGCCGCUCGCGGGUCUGCUCGGCGCGGAGGAAACCUGCUCCGUUUUACGAGGCCACACRAAGGCGUUUUACAGCAGCCAUUUGGAGAGCAGCGCCUGCUCGGAGGCUUGCAGCCCCCCAGCGAAGCCGGGAAUUCACGUUCCCUUCCCAGCCCGGGAAGCAGGUUUAAAGCAGCCCCAGCAGGAGUUCAACACGCUGCCCAGCUGCUCAAACGCAGUUUGUGACGGAGGAUCAGAGCCCACAGCAAGGGCAAACCUCAGACAAGCCCCAAAAGGGAUAGAAAYAAGGGUUUCCCAGUUCAGGGACUGCAGUCAGCCUCGCCCGGGUCUCCCCUGACUCCCAGGUUCAGACUUGGGUUACACUUCACCUUCUGGGUGCAGAUUUUGCAACUGCGGGAGGUUUGCAGGCCCCAGAGGCAGCACAUUCAAGCUGCUGGGAGGUGUAAGGGCUCCUGACCGUGUUCCCAGGGUCUGGACAACGCGGACCCAGCACCAGCACCCGUGAUCCAGGGAGCCCCAACCUGGAGCAGCAGCACCUGGGGGCCCAGGGCUGCUAAACGCAGCCGGCGCCCUUCGCCCGAGGCCGGCCAAAGGCAGCGCUCGGCUCCUUGCAGCCCUCCCGGUCGCGCUCGGGGACUUUCUCCUUUCCCCAUCCGGCUGCUUCGCUGCAGCCCAGACCCAGGUUUCCGCUCACCAGCUUGCGGAUGCGGUCGAGGACCAGGUCGAUGAUCUCCUUGCCRAUGGUGUAGUGCCCCCGCGCGUAGUUGUUGGCCGCAUCCUCCUUGCCCGUGAUCAGCUGCUCGGGGUGGAAGAGCUGCCGGUAGGUCCCCGUGCGCACUUCGUCUGCGGGACGAGGACGGGCGCCCCGUUAGCACCGCCGCCGCCGCCCCCCCGGCCCCCCCGCGCCC
Molecule: long non-coding RNA, 2165 nt
Organism: Dromaius novaehollandiae (emu)
Lineage: Eukaryota; Metazoa; Chordata; Aves; Casuariiformes; Dromaiidae
Source: Ensembl